CCUACGGGAGGCAGCAGUGAGGAAUAUUGGUCAAUGGCCGAGAGGCUGAACCAGCCAAGUCGCGUGAGGGAAGAAUGUCCUAUGGAUUGUAAACCUCUUUUGUCAGGGAGCAAAGUCAGCCACGUGUGGGUGUUGGAGAGUACCUGAAGAAAAAGCAUCGGCUAACUCCGUGCCAGCAGCCGCGGUAAUACGGAGGAUGCGAGCGUUAUCCGGAUUUAUUGGGUUUAAAGGGUGCGUAGGAGGGUUGAUAAGUUAGAGGUGAAAGGUCCGAGCGUAACUCGGGAACUGCCUCUAAUACUGUUGAUCUUGAGUGUAGAUGAGGUAGGCGGAAUGUAUGGUGUAGCGGUGAAAUGCUUAGAGAUCAGGCAGAACACCGAUUGCGAAGGCAGCUUACUAGUCUAUAACUGACGUUGAGGCACGAAAGCGUGGGGAGCAAACAGGAUUAGAUACCCCAGUAGUC
This 460-nucleotide ribosomal RNA is filed under the name uncultured bacterium. RNAcentral's name for it is "partial 16S ribosomal RNA". It matches the Rfam family "Bacterial small subunit ribosomal RNA", at positions 338 to 795 of the family's 1533-position model. The record is from RNAcentral.